RNAcentral lists this small RNA (86 nucleotides) under Flavobacterium resistens. RNAcentral's name for it is "Flavo-1 RNA". It matches the Rfam family "Flavo-1 RNA". Lineage: Bacteria; Pseudomonadati; Bacteroidota; Flavobacteriia; Flavobacteriales; Flavobacteriaceae. The record is from RNAcentral.
CCCUAGCCCCGAUAGUAGUGGAAAUCCUUUUGUGUCUCGUUUCUUUAACGAGACACAAAAGAUUGAAACGGAUAGCGGGAUUAGCU